Molecule: long non-coding RNA, 3034 nt
Filed under: Homo sapiens (human)
Lineage: Eukaryota; Metazoa; Chordata; Mammalia; Primates; Hominidae
Description: HSALNT0322426
Source: RNAcentral
GUGCGAGGCCCGCCGAGCCCACGCCCACCUAGAACUCGUGCUGGCCUGCAAGCGCCGGGCGCAGCCCCGCAAGCACCGCGCGCAGCCCGGCAAGCAACGCGCGCAGCCCCGGUUCCCGCCCGCGCGGAGCCCACGCCCACCCGGAACUCAUUCUGUCUGGCAAGCGCCGCGCGCAUCCUCGGUUCCCGCCGCGCCGUUGCCGCCGCUCCUCUCCCUCCUCACCUCCCCGCAAGCUGAGGGAGCCGGCUCUGGCCUUGGCCAGCCCAGAAAGGGGCUCCCACAGUGCAGCGGUGAGCUGAAGGGUUCCUCAAGCGCGGCCAGAGUGGGCGCCAAGGCCGAGGAGGCGCCCAGAGCCAGCGAGGGCUGCCAGCAAGCUGUCACCUCUCAAUAGGAACUGGUACCAACCUACUUACGAAGAAGUAUUUGUUUUAACCUGAACCUGGGGGAAAAACAACAUGAACUGUUCGUCUAUCUAUAUCGUCAUUAUUUUUUACCUCAUGGAUUGAAACAAAUUUUAAAGGAAAAAAGAAUGUUAAGAAAGAGCAGCACUUACUAUCAGGGAGGCACCUCACGAGCAUUGUAAACACUCAGGCUCGCUGCUUUCUGAAGGACAUGCCAAUCAUGCACAGCACUUACUAGAAACUGCAAGACUGCACAACAUGAUGGUAUUUAUUCCAGGAACAGGAGCCAGUCCUGGGCACACACAUAAAGGGACUUCCUUCACUCCCCAGAAGAAGAGAAAGCAUGCUGACACACAUCUGCCCAAGCAAUCAGAAGGCAGCUAAAGCCGCCACAGUCUUCACUCACCAACAGUUAGACCUUUUCAAUUGAUUUUAUUGAAGAAAGUGAGUGCUGAGCACCAUGAGUUCUCAUAAACAAUCCAUUUUGGCAAAUGCUUUAAGAAUGUUGGUUAAUUGCAGUUAGGCAGCAUCGACGUAUUUUAUUUUUUGGAAAGCAAGAAGCUGGCUUACCAACAUUAAGUUAAACAACAUGUAAGGGUUAGAAAUAUGAAUCAACAAACUAUUAGGGUGGUACCAUCUCUUUAUAAUAAAACAAUGUAGAUUGAUUAAGUAUAGCCUAAAAGUUUACCACAAAUCAUAACUACAUUUAAGCUUUGAAUUUCAUGACUAGUGAUUAAUUUUGCAUGUCAACUUGACUGAGCUUAUAGAAUGCCCAGGUAUCUGAUUAAACGUUAUUUCUGGAGGUGUCUGUGAGGGUGUUUCUGUAAGAGAUUAGCAUCUGAAGGCCAGGUGUGGUGGCUCAUGCCUGUAAUCCUAGUACUUUGGGAGGCCGAGGUGGGCAGAUUGCCUGAGCUCAGGAGUCUGAGACCAGCCUGGGCAACAUGGCAAAACACCGUCUGUACUAAAAAAUACAAAGUUUAGCCGGAUGUGGUGGCACACACCUGUAGUCCCAGCUACUAGGGAGGCUAAGGCAUGAGAAUUUCCUGAGCCUGCGAGGCGGAGGUUGUGGUAAGCCAAGAUUGUACUCCAGCCUGGGUGAUAAAGUGAGACCCUAUCUCAUAAAAAACAAAAAAACAAAAAAGAAAAAAGGAGAAGAAAGAGACACAGAUUAGCAUUUGAAUGGGUGGACUGAGUAAAGCAGAUGGCCCUCGUCAGUGUUGGUGGGAAUUGUCCUAUCCAUUGAGGGCUUAAAUGAAACAAAGACUGAGGAAGGCUGAAUUCAAUCUCUGCUGACUGCUGGGGCUGAGACAUCAAUCUUCUCCGGCUCUCAGUGCUCUUCCAGACUCAGACUGGAAUGUACACUAUCAGCUCUCCAGUUCUCAGGCCUUCAAAUUACACCUCUGGCUUUCCUGGGUCUCCAGCUUGCAGAUGGCAGAUCGUGGGACUUCAUGGGACUUCUCAGACUCCAUAACCAAGCAAGCCAUUUUACUUACUUUGGACUCAUUUUCUUAAUCCAAAAAUGGAAGUAAGGCUUGUCAUCUGUCUUAUUCAUAGUCACAGGCACACCUGGAUGAUAUCAAAUUAUUCUUUUAAGGAAAUCAAUAUAUCACGAAAAAUGCAUAGAAGAACAUCUGGCAAUAACAUUUCAGGGCUGAGGAGCUACAGUCUAAAUGCAUACGCAUGUUGGGAACCGAAGUCAGCCAUCUUCCCUAGGACAAAUCUUUACUCUUCUAAAGAAGGACAAGAAUAAGAAUUGAAAACACUUUUCACAGUAUAGACAUCUAUAGUGUGUAAAACCAUCUUUACAAAACCCAUAUAUACAGAAAAAUCUCAGUCUUCAAUUUGAAGGUUCUUUGCCGUGCUAACAUAUGUUGUAGAGAAUGACCACAUAGUAAUUGUCUAGUCUUUUCUCCUAACCCCAAUAGGAUUUGAAUGACUUUCAUCGUAAUGAAGGCUUCUGCAGAGUAAUUGAUUUUGACCAUGAGUACCUGUUGAAGUCACAGCAACUUCUCCUUCUAGAUUAUCUUACAGCAGUGGACCAGACAGCAGUGCUCAAGAGAGAAAUGCUAUCAAACAAAAAGUGGUUCAAUACUGGCAUCCUGUGGCUGGAGAGAUUUAUCAAAUCUCUGAAAAUCUCAGCUCCUUGGAUUCUGAACAUUCCCUGGCUGUCAGUUCUCAGCAGCCUUUCACCAUUUUCCGAGUGCUAUUUGGUUACCUCUCAUUUUUCAUGGAAACAACCUAGAUGAAGAACUCCAUAAAAGAAGAGAAGACAGAGAGACCUGUAGGGAGAUGUAAGAAAUGAACAGACAAAGAUUAAAAGACUGCAGGGUUGAAGGAAGCUCAUGGAAAAAUGUGCAGAGAUGCAUAAAGGAAGGAGAAAAGUGCAGCAAAGCCACAUAGAAAAAUGGCCAGAAGGGUCACUCUUAGCCACCACCACACAGAGAAAUGAACUAAAAUGAAAACUCACAACUCAGGAAUAUGGAAUAAUAAGCAAUCAGAAACAUAAAUAUAAGCAGUUUUAUCUAUUCAUUAUUUUUAUUCUACUAUUAGAAUAAAUUCAUGACUAAAUAAAAUUAUUCAGCAAAAUGUAGCUUGAGAGUAAAUUUUCAUUUGCUUGCAUUUCAUACACACAA